RNAcentral lists this transfer RNA (73 nucleotides) under Felis catus (domestic cat). It matches the Rfam family "tRNA". From Rfam's summary of the family: Transfer RNA (tRNA) molecules are approximately 80 nucleotides in length. Their secondary structure includes four short double-helical elements and three loops (D, anti-codon, and T loops). Lineage: Eukaryota; Metazoa; Chordata; Mammalia; Carnivora; Felidae. The record is from Rfam by way of RNAcentral.
AUCUGGCUGGCUCAGCCAGUAGAGCAUGAGACUGUUGACCUCAGGGUUGUGAGUUCAAGCCCCAUGUUGGGUG